UCAGCUAUACUUCAAUAUGGUUUUUUAAAAUAAAUUUAAAAAAUAAAAAAAAGUUUUAAAAUAAUUAGGAGCCCUAUCCUUAAUACAAAUAAAAUAGAGUGAUUAACUAAAAGUUGUCCCUAUGUCACACCCAUCCUCCACUAUCAUUUGGUGUGCAGCUAGCUAAGAUAAAUGUACAUUUGUGCUCAUAAUCUUAAUUUCAGCAUCAUGAGAAUUCAGAGGUAGUCAGGCACCUAGCUUACUUUUGGAACCACAUAUUUGCCACCCUGUACCAGGAAGAAUGUGAUCUACUGAUAUUCUAAUGCUGAAAUUAGAGAGCUCAAGCAACAGCUGAUUGCACACCAUGAGAUCCACUAAAAUCUGACAGCAGGCAUAGUCACCAAUUUUGACCAUAAUGACAGCAAUGGGGAGACUUUUUGUUAAAGGGACAAGAGAGCAGAUAUCUGGCACCAAGCACUGGAAAAAAGCAAGACAGUUUUAAACAAGGACCACAUGUGGUGACUCAUUAGAUGUUGAGAGCUAAUAAGAAGCUGAAGAUUUUUAGCUUAGCACUGAUGCUGUGGGCCGCAGGAUCUCCUAACAUCUAGAAAUUGAGAAUGAAUCAGGAGGUGGUGAUAAAUCCGGUGCUGAUGCCUGGUGUGUGGAACUGUUAUAUUUUUAGGAUAAAUGCAAAGAUGUAAAAAUCCAAGAGAGUGCCUGAGUGAAGCAGCUAUGUUGAGAGAGAUUUGUGUAUGAAGUAUUCCUUCAUUCACUAAGCAGAAACAAUGCCAUGGAUAGCAUCCCAGCUUUCAGAAUAUAGAAAAUGGCCCCUUCUGGAUGGAGCUGCCAAGCUAACACAGAAGAAAAAAUUAACCAGAUAAAGAUUAUAAACUGUAGUGGAUGUUGGGAUAAUAGAAAUAAAGGGUACCAUGAGGGCAUGGUCCAGAGAAGUGAAGAAAUCCCAGUGGAGGUGCCAGCCCAGGACAAAAGAAGAAAUAUGAAAAGCAAAGGGAAUUCCCACAGGAAGGGGGAUAGGAAUGGGUAAGACGGCCAGAGUCAGCAGGAGCUGGGUGGCUAGUAAGGAUGGAGAGGCAGACAGAUCCAGAUCCUUGUGUUCUAUACAAAAGCAUCUCUGUUCUUACAGGCAGGAAAGCUAUGUUAUUAGCCACUUUUUUUUUUUUUUUUUUUGGUCUUUUUAGGGCCACACCCAUGGCAUGCGGAGGUUCUCAGGCUAGGGGUCAAAUAGGAGCUAUAGCUGCCAGCCUAAACUACAUCCACAGCAACACCAGAUCUGAGCUGCGUCUGUGACCUACACCACAGCUCAUGGCAAUACCGGAUCCCUAACCCACUGAGCAAGGCCAGGAAUCGAACCUAUGUUCUCAUGGAUACAAGUCAGAUUUCUUUCGGCUGAGCCUCGGUGGGAACUCCUAGCCACCAUUUUUAAAAGGUAACCAGCUACCCACGUUUUUAUUUUGAGAAAAUGCUCUGUGCUAUGCAGUGAACAAGAUAAAGUCCCUGCCCUCGAGAAGUGUGUCUAUUGGUGGAGGAUUUCGGACAAUAAACCCUUGGAAAAUGUGUGCCAAGUGCUGGGGAGAAGGCAAGGAAGAGGCUUCAAUUGGAGACAGUGAGUGAAGGGACAGGGAACACAGACCCUGGUUGUCCACAGUGACUGCUCUUGUGGAGGAAAUAUUUGAAUUGAGAUCUGAACAGUGAGAAAGGAGGAGGCUUGUGACGGUCUAGGAAAAGCAUUCCAAGCUGAAGGACAGCAAGCUCCAUAAGACAGAAACAAGCCAGCAUGUGUUCAAGGCCCAGAAAGUGGGAAGAGGGGAAAUAAAAGAGGGUGUAAGGAACAUGAGGUCAGAGAGGCGAGACGAGGACAGACCAGAGAGGAACUUGAGGGAAGAUGACCAAACAUCCAGUGGGCCAACUUCCACAAGCUGUGGGCAUGAACAAAAAUAAAUAAACAAAUAAAUAAAAGAUGUGAAAGAUGUUGUUAAGAGAAUAAGAAGACAAGCCACAGACUGGGAGGAAACAUUUGCGAAAGACACAUCUAAUAAAGGACUGUUCUCCAAAAUAAUCAAAGAACUCUUAAACCUCAAAAAUAAGAAGCAAACAACCUGAUUUUUGAAAUGAACCUAUAGACUUUAACAGAUUUCUCACCAAACAUAUAUAGAUGGCAAAUUUGCACAUGAAAAGAUGCUCCAUAUCAUAUGUUAUCAGGGAAAUGCAAAUUAAAAUUAUGAGAUACCACUAUACACCUGUUAGAAUAGCAGAAUCCAGAACACUGACAAUACAAAUGCUGGUGAGGAUGUGGAGCAAUAGGAACUGUCAUUCAACCCCUGGUGGAGUGAAAACUGGAACAGCCACUAUAGAAGAUGGUUAGGCAGUAUCUUACAAGAAUAAGUAUACUCUAAAAUAAUUAAGCAAUUAUACUUCUUGGUAUUACCCAAAGGAGUUGAAAUAAAAACCUACAUGUGAAUAGUUAUAGCAGCUUAAUUCAUAAUUGUUAAAAACUGGAAGCAACCAAGAUGUCAUUCAGGAGGUGAAUAAAGAAGCUGUUGAUCAUCCAUACAAUGCAAUAUUAUUCAGGAAUAAAAAGAAAUGAGAUACCAAGCCAUGAAAAGGCCACAGAGGAACCAUAAAUGCAUAUUACUAAGUGAAAAAAAAUUGAGAAGUAUGUGUGUAUAUAUAUAUAUAUAUAUUGCAUGAUUCCAACUGUAUGGAAUUCUGGAAGAGGCAAAACUAUGGAAAUCAGUGAUUGUCAGGGUUGGCUAGGGGUAGGAGGUGAUAAGGAGGUGAACAGGCAGUGAAAAUACUUUGUAGCCAUAAUGAUGGCUACAGGGUGUUAUACAUUUGUACAAACCCAUACAAUGUACAACACUAAGCGUGAACUAUAAACUAUGAACUUGGAAUGACUAUGUAUCAAUAUAGGUCAUCAAUUGUGACAAAUGUACCAUUCUGGGAGGGGAGGUAAUAUAUACAUGGGGUCAGGUAUAUAUGGGAAAGAUCUACCUUCCCCUAAAUUUUGCUGGGAGGAAUCUAAACUGCUCUAAAUACAUUGUCUUAAUUUUUUUUAGGGCUGCAUGUGCCACAUAGGGAAGUUGCUAGGCUAGGGGUCGAAUUAGAGCUGCAGCUGCCAACCUAUCCCACGGCUACAGCAAAGCAAGAUCUGAGCUUCAUCUGUAACCUACACUAUAGCUCACAGCAACGCUAGAUACGUAACCCACUGAGUAAUGUCAGGGAGCGAACCCGCAUCCUCGUGGUUAGUAGUCAGGUUCGUUACUGCUGAACCAUAACAGGAACUCCCUUUAUUUUUUUUUUUAAGUGACUCUUUAAAAAAGUUUAGAGUUACUUGUCAUUUCUGUUUAAAAAGUUAUUUCUUUUGAAAAUGUUAUCCCUUGUUAAAAAAUAUACAGCAUUAUAAAAUACAAUUAAAAAUGAAAAAGCAUCUGAAGCAGACCUCCCCACAGGCCCACCCCUGCCACCACUUGUCCUCAAAGUUGACAUUUGAGUCUCAAGGGUAAUCAAGAACACAGAAUUCAUUCCAAAAAUCUCUGUGGCUCAGUUGGAACAACUGUUUGUGUUUAUAAGGCACAUGGUUUGAUGAAGAUUACAUUUAUUUUAGAUUAGUCUGGGGGCUGGCCUUGUUGUUUUAAAAAUCUAAAGAAGAAAUUACAAAUUUAAACAGUUUGUGUUAGUGGCAAAGCCUGCUGUUUGCUCUAGCAGAUGCUGUCAGUGCUCUGCCCACAUUCUGUGGGCACUUGUUCUACUAAAAGCACCUAGGAUUCCCUACUAGGCAGCUUUCUUCAGGCCUCCCUGGGGCACAGGCUGGGAGUCUGGGGGAUUAGCACCCCUGGUAGGAACCCCAGCACAACCCAGUUGGGUAACUCUGAGAAUAUGUCCUUUAUCUCCCUUCUUUCUCUCACUUUCCUUCUUCCCUGGUAUUUCCUGUUUCCUUCUCCUGAAUAAAAUACUUACAUACUGUUUAAGGUGUGGUUCUCCUGUAACCUAAACUAAGACCAUUAUCUUCCCAAUAGUUAUAUACCUUAUUUCUUGUCAAUGUGACUUGCAUUUCCCUGGUGUUCCAAACUUCCAGUUCAAGUUCAUGAGCUUCAGGGGAGGCUGGCUCACCCCCACCGCAGUGGAGGGGUCUUGAUUUGUCUAGACCCAGAGCACUGUUCCUGUUCUUCUGCGUGAGCAGGUGGCUUAGGUACAACCAAUGAGACCUGGAGGCAAGUCAGCCAGAGGACUUCGAAGACAUAGGAAAAGCAAGUUUAUUUUCAUUCCCUGGCUUUGGUCACGUCUGGAUAAGAUGCUAGAAGUGGUGGAGUCAUCUUGCAACCAUGAGGUAAGACCUUGAGGGAACAGAGACAACAUGGAGGACACAGAACCACGAGAACCCCCAAGAGCAGAGGUAGAACCAUAAUUAUUCACAUCUGGAGCUGCCCCGCCUUUGAAAUCCUUGUUCUGUGAAAUAAUUCCUGUUGAGUAAAGCAAUUGAGUCGUGGUUGUUUUUUGUUACUCCAGGCAAAAAACACCUAAUUAAUAAAUUUUUAGGACUAGAGAAAGCAAACCCCACAAUCUUUAGAGUGUCAAGAGUCUGGAUGUGGUCACUAGAGCAGAAGUCAAGAGCCAAAAGAGGAAAAACAAUUCAAGGAAAGGGGGGCAGAGAUGGAAUCCUAUUCACCGAGUAAUACCAGCAAACAAAGCUAGAAUGUACAAACCAGGAAAGGAGGGCACUAAGAGUGGAUAUCAGCCAACCUGCCUUCCUUCUUCCUUUCUUCCACUCCAUUUGUAAGCACAAACUCUGUCCCAGGCACUUCCAGGAGCUGAGCAUUCAGUGGUGAGCAAGAUUGACAGGCCAUAGCCCUUGGGACACUUGCAACCAAGAAAAUCACUAGCAAGUUGGAGCCUAGGAGUGCAUUUUAAAGCAAGAAUAAGGAAGGUGGACCCAGGUAUGGACCCAGAUAAAACUCUGUGGAGCAGCUGGAUGCUAUUUCUGAUGCCUUCCCCCAAUCACGUGGGCAUCUUGACUCCCAGUCUCGCCUCAAUGGAGGCAGGAAAGACUCCUAACAUUAGGCAGCAUCUGUGCCUAAAAUCCCCAGAGAAAGAACUCUUCCGAAGGCCUCACUGGAACUCUGUGAAAUUGGCACUAUUUGGUAAAUGGCCCGUUAGAAGAGAAAAAUCACUUAUUGAAAAAAUGAAAACAAAAAGCAACAAAAAACAAACACACACACACACAAAACCCAUCCAGAUGGAAACUGGUAUUUGGCAAAUGAUUUUUUCCCCUCAAGUUAGAAAUGACCUAUGUUGAAAAUGUCAGGUAAGAUCAAUCUUUUUUUUUUCUUUUUUUUUAAAUUUUUUAAUGGUUAACUGUUUCCAUUUCAAGGUCCAAAGUUGACCAGAUUCAGCAUUUCUGCCACCAGGGAGCGCUGUGCCCAGUGAACAGUGGGGUAGGCUGGCCUGCACUUCCCGCAUUGCCCACAAGGGGCGCUUAGCCAGCCUCGCGGACCCCCAGCGCAUGCUCUGUUCUGUGGCGUAGAGCCGAGCUGACUUGCCGCCUACCCAGGCUGGGCACCCCAUGUCGGAGUCUCAGCUGACAGAGCUCAGUCCCAGUGAGACCAGCUGGGAUUUCAGCUUCAGGACAGUGGCAGUGGAACCCUGGGUUUCCUGAUGAUGCAGGCAAUACUGGGAGGAAAAGGUGAGGAAAAAAGAGAAGUGAGGAAAAGUGAAAAGCUUCCUGUGUGCCACUGACUGCUGUGGCUCAUCUGUCUUCAGAUGACCCAGGAAGGGCUCAACUUGGAAAACUUUUUUUUAAGUCAAUUAUGUGUGUGGUGCAGAGGUUGGAAGGUGGUCCAGAUUUCCCAGCACCCUUUAUUGUGGGGACUGUCCUUCCUCUUGGUGUGUCCUUGGCCCCUGUGUCAUGAAUUAAGUGACCCUCUCCAUGUGGGUUGAAUUCUGAGCUUUCUAUUUAUUUCCUCUGGCCUCUGCACCUGUUUUGUGGCCAGUUCCACACUGUUUUGGUGACCAUCGCUCUGCAAAAUAGUUCAAAGACAGCCAAAGUAGUUUGACGUCUAUGCAAGAGGCAUGGAGGCUCCCCACCUGCAAAUCAUUUUGUGAAUCCAUGUGGCCUGGUGGGGGGUUGGGCCGUGAGGAAGUGAUAGGGCUAGGGACUUAGGAUCACUAUGGAAGAAUUCUGAGAGCAAAGCCUCACACAACUCUAGUGCCACCAUGUCAUUCCCACCAACAAGUAACCUCUUUUUUUUUUUAAUGUUGGAAUAUAGUUGAUUUACAGUUGCUACAUUAGUUUCAGGUGUACAGCAAAGUGAAUCAGUUAUACAUAUAGAUAUAGCCAUUCCUUUUCAGAUUCUUUUCCCAUAUGAGGUUAUUACACAGUAUCACAUAUAUUUCCCUGUGUUAUACAGUAGGUCCUUGUCUGUUAUCUGUUUUAUAUAUAGUAGUGUGCAUGUUAUUCUCAUUCCUAAUUCAUCCCUCCCACAGUCACCUCUUUUUUGUUUUUUAUUUUUGUGGGAAAGCUCUUUACUGGGGGCAUCCAGCAGAAGGAGCAAGGCCAUCUCCCCCUACUUGGAAAUCUGUAUGGAUAAGUUCAUAGUCAGCAGGGGAAAAAAUACUUGGAAUAUCUUCCCCGGCACAGAAAGGAUGUCAGCCACUCAGAUACUCAUUUUACUAUAACCAGUUGCAGAAAAACUUGGAAGAAGGGAAGUCUUGACUUCUGCCUAUCCCUCUGGAAGAAAUUAUUUUAGAAUUAAAAGGUGAACAGAGACAAAGUGUGAAACUAUACUUUUUUCUCUUGGAAUUUAUGCCAUAAAAACCGAAUCCUGAAGAUGGUAGGUACCCAUUUCUGAGUGUCAAGCUAUAAAUUGACCCAAACAUCUCUGAAACAUAAAGUGCAACAUGAUAGAUAUAGAUUAUCCUUUAGUAUUGAUGAGCCUCUGAGAUUUACUUAGAUGUUUUACUGAAUGUUUAUCAUUUAUGCAUUAAAUCUGGUAACACCUUUUUUUUUUUUUGCACUGAACUGCAGAUGCCGUGUUAUCUACCUACUGCUGUUCUCCUUUGUAUAUGCUCUGCUUUAUUUUCAAAUGUAUCAGAAAUAUCCACACAUACACAUUUAUGCUCUCUUUUCAAGGUAAUAUGGCUGGUAAUUAUGUUAUAAAAAUGUAUGAUUAUUGCUAAAAAUAUAUGGGUCUCUGAAAUUAAAAUAUUCUUUAAUAUUUUUGAUUCAUUUAUUUAUUCAUUCCACAAAUAUUUGUGAAACAUCUAAACAGGCUACAUGCUAGAAUACUGGGCUGCAAGCUAGAUUUGUCACUAUAAGUCUGUCUUUAGAAACUGCUUUUCUGCAGUUACCUUACAAUGGAACCAGUUAAUCAUGAGUUAUUAAUACCAAGGUUUGAAUAAUAAAGUGGUACAAGAUGGCAAAAGAUAGGUGCAAGAUCAGAUUCAGACCCUAAGAUUCUUAGAAUGGAAGAUACAUCAUAAAAAUGGGAGUUCUGUCAUGGCUCCUGUCAUGGCUCAGCGAAUCUGACUACUUUUCAUGAGGACAAGAAGUUUGAUCCCUGGCCUCUGUCAGUGGGUUAAGCAUCCGGUGUUGCCGUGUGGUGUAGGUUGCAGAUGCGGCUCGGAUCUGGCAUUGCUGUGGCUGUGGCGUAGGCCAGUGGCUACAGCUCCAAUUCGACCCCUAGGCUGGGAACCUCUAUAUGCCAAGGGAGCAGCCCUAAAAAGACAAAAAAAAAAAAAAAGAUGAUCAAGAGAUCAUGAAGACCAUGGGAAAAUCUGAGACACACUCAAAGAAACUUACAAGCAACUGACAAAUUGUUGGUGACAGAGAUCUGUGCUCAAAGCCCUGAGCUCCAUUCUUUAGUUCCUGUUGGUGCCUGAGAGGUACGCCUAGUAGCACCUACAAAGCACAAUUUUCAACCACCUGAGACAUCAUCACAGAAGACCAAUCCCUCUACAGGCUUUAUGCUUUUUUUCCACCAAGUUCCAGUUGCUCUCCAGUUCUGAAUGCAGAAUUUCAACACUGUUUCGUAAAGGGGUGUGAUUUGGAUUCAUUCUGACACAUCCAUCUGUGGCUCAUCCUCUUUGUUUCAUGACAAAGCAUCAUUUAUGCCACCUGAAAUCCUUAUCUUCUAAUGCAUAGAACAAAACAUCACAUCAUCAGUCAACAAGUUGGAAAAGGGGAGACUUAAGGCAGCAAUAACAAACUAAGUCCCCCUACAUGUGCCAAUUUUAAUGGGAGAUGUAGGCAGUUGGCAGGCUAGUGUUGAGAGCCCUGAAAUCCAAAGGCAACCUCUGACCAGUGAUGUAAAUUCAGAAAUUCUGCUUCAUCAUUUUUCUCAGAAGAAAUCAGGCUCUGUAAGCUCUCUUUAAUCCACUAUCUCAGGGAAGACAGAAAUCAGUAUGGUAAUUAGUUAUUUACAGCCAGAAUGCCUGUAACUUUUCCCAAUCUCAAGGGAAACCCAUCAGGAGUUUUCUCGAAGACCAUGGACUAAAAAUAAAUGAAGUGAAGGAUUUUUCAUCAGACAGUGGCAAAGCCUGGUGAUCUGAUGUUAUUCCAUGUCAUCCAAGCGCUCAUGCUGGGCAGAAGGAGCUGUGGGUUCUCAAUAAGGCAUCAUUUCCAGGACCUACAAUUCUGAUUCAGAAUGAGCACCAGAGUAGAGCAGAGCUGACCCAGAGUCAGGCUGUAUGAAGCAAGUAGGGAGGUAAGGCUGGGAAUGACUCAGACCCAAAGAGUCAAAAGGAAAUCUGACCUUGUGGAUACGUCCACCAGGCUGAUGGCUUUUCUCCUGGCUCCCACUUCUGCUCAGUCGACAGGCACCACUGGCAGGACAUCAGAAAGUACAGGAAGGAUGACAUCAUUGCAAUGGAUCUCAAACAUUUUGGUCUUUGACUCAUUUACUCUCUUAAAAGAUCAAAAGUAUAUCUGUUGGUAUUAGAAAUGAACACAAUUUAUACCUAUUGAUUUUACUGUAUUAGAAAUUAAAACUGAAAAAUUACACUAAUGACUGAGCUAUAGGAACAGAGAAUCUAUUGGUGUUAGAAAAUUAACUUAUUAAUAUAGUUCAAGAGUAAUAAUUCCAUAGUACCUUAACAUGUGUUUAUGAAGCAUGACUGUAUUUACCCAAACAAGCAAUAAUUUGUGAUAAAAUUGACACAUUUCACAUUUUUGCAAAUCCACUUAAUAUCUGGCUAAGUAGGAGACAGCUGGAUUUUCAGAUCUGCUUCUGCAUUCAAUCUCCCGCCGUAUCAUACAUCAUUGAGUUCCUGAAAAAUUCCACUGUAUACUCAUGAGAACAUUAAACAAUGCAAAUGUCUCAGUAUUAUUAGGAAAAUACUUUUGAAAAUACCUAAGAAAGAAAAUACUUUUGAAAAUACACCAAGGAGUCCCCACAGCACACUUUGAAAACUGCUGGUUGGACUAUUAUUGCCCCUGACUCUCUCGUUUGUAGGCUACAAGCUGGCAGUGGUGGUGCCCCAUAGUCAGAGCUAUAUCUCCUGUUGGGUAGCCAUUCCCUAGCCUCCCCUGAGCCUGUGUUCCCUGUUGUUGCUAAAAGCUCCCUGUUGUUGCUAGCCCUAGUUGCUUCCAAGCCCUUGCUGGCUUCUCUUAAUCUUGCCCACACCUUUUUUUGUAAGUAGGCCCUUCAUUAAACUCUCACCGAUCAUCUUUUGUCAUGCCUGUGUGUGCAGUGGGCAGACUCUAAGCUGGUCUCCAGUGAUCCCCCUCCUUGUGCUCAUGCCUCUGUGCAAUCCCCACCCCUUGUGGGUGGGCAGGACCUGGGAUUUGCUUCUAACUAGUAGAACGUGGCAAAAGUGGUGGGAUGUCUCUCUCUCACAUGCGCGCGCGCACACACACACACACACACACACACACACACACACACACACCAGUUGCGUUAUGUUGUGUAAGACUCUUCUUCCAUUCUCUCCUUGAUGGAGGAAGUGGCCCAUGGGAAAGGUAACUGUGUGACAAGAGCUGCAGACAGCCUCUAGGGGUGCGGCACAGCCUGCAGCUAACAACCAGCAGGAGCUAACCCCCAGCCACACAGCGACAAGGAGAUGAGCUCUGAGCUUCAAAGGGACUCUGCCCCUUUGAGCCCCCAAAUAAAAAUACAGCCCAUCAACACCUUGAUCACAGCCCUAUGAGACCUGAGUGGAGGAUUCAGAUUUGGCAACAUUCCUAAUCCAUGGAAAUUGGAAUAAUACAGGCAGACUACUUUAAGCUGCUAAAUUUUUGGUAAUUUGUUACAUAGCAAUAGAUAUCUAAGUGCCAUCUUCCUCCCCAACCCUGACUCAUAAACUUUCUGCACACUAUUAAACAUUUUAUUUGACCACUGCUGUCCAAUUUUUUUUCCCCACUGUAUGGAAACAACCCAAAUGUCCAUCAACAGAUGAUUGGAUUAGGAAGAUGUGAUAUAUAUACACAAUGGAAUACUGCUGUCCAAUUUUUAAUGGCCUUCCCAUAUUCAUUUUCAUGUCGCAUGAUAGCUACAAAGGAAGUAAAAACUGUAUGUGCGGAAGUGUGUCAUGAUACUGGAGUUUUUGGUUUUUUUGUUUGUUUUUUUUUUUUUUUGGCUACACCCAUGGCAUGUGGGAGUUCCUGAGCCAGGGAACAAACCUGAACCAAGCCACAGCAGUGACCUGAGACGCAGCAGUUAUAAUGCCAUUUCCUUAACCCAUUGAGCCAUCAGGGAACUCUGAGUUUUUAUUAUUUAAACUUGGAUCAAGGAGUUCCUGUUGUGGCUUAGCUGGUUAAGGAUCCUACAUUGUCUCUAAGGAUGCAGAUUUGAUCCCUGGCCUGCUGAGCGGUUGAAGGAUCCAAGGUUGCUGUAAGCUGCAGCAUAGCUCGCAGAUUCAGGACAGAUCUGGUGUUGCUGUGAUUGUGGCAUAGGCCACAGCUGCAGCUCUGAUUCAACCCCUGGCCCAGGAAAUUCCAUAUGCCAUGGGUGUGGCUAUAAAAAGAAAAAAAAAAAAAAACUUGGCUCCAGUCGACUUUUCUCUGGAUUAAAAGGAUGUAAUAUAUAAAGUUUAUAUACACAAGACCCUUUUGCUUUUAGUUCUAUAAAAAUUAAUACUAGUACAAUAUACACAAAAUAUUUGCAUAUGUCAUAGUAUAUAGUAUACGUGUAGUUUUUAAAAAGGUAAUAUCAUGAGGGCCUGCUUACUUACCACCAGCUUAAAAAACAUUACAAAAACUUGAUGUUAACUCUCCGGAUAUACAUCUGAAACGUAUUUUCUUGCCUCCCUAACCAGGUAACUAGUAUCCUGUAUUUUGGGCUGAUCACUCUCUUGCUUUUUGUUGUCAGUUACCAACCCUAUAUGUUGAUAUAUGUAUAUUGUUGAGUUUUCAAUGUCUUUGUGCUUCACUAAUAUACGUAUAUAUACAUGUGAAUAUAUGUAUGUAUAUAAAUUUAUCUGCAACUUGCUUUUGUUUCUCUAUUAGAGGUUCAGCUAUGCUGCAGACACAGCUGUAAUUUAUUCAUGUUUUAUUGUACCUUAACUUAUUUAUCCACUCUCCUAUCUGUGUAUGUUUAGAUUAUCUUCAGUUUUCAUUUUGAGCAGUUUGCUGUACAUAUGAGCAGGACUUUUUCAAAUCUAGGUGUAUACCUAGGAGUGGAAUUGCUGGAUUGUAGGAUAUAUUAAUCUUCACCUUCAUCAGAUAAUACCUAGUUCUUUUCCAAAGUGACUCUGCCAUUCGUUGCUCUUACAAGCCAUGUAUAAGGCUUCUUGUUCCAUGUUUUGCUGAUAAGCCUAACUUACCUUUGAUUAGCAUAUUAUGUUACUCUUUACUUUCCUGUCAUGACAAAGAUCAGGGGCAAAAAUUAAAAUUGUAUCAGUUGUAGAAAAUCAUCUAAGCUGUAUUUUCUCUGUUAAUUCAUUUAAAAACUAAUACUUGUUGAAAGUUGCCUAGACACUGUUCUAGGCACUGUGGAGGUAGCCACAACAGAGCAAGCCUCCCGCCUGGUGGAACUGACAUCUCCAAGGAGACAGAGAGUAAAGCUCAGAACACAUUGGGAACCAAUCAGCACAUGGAGAAAAACAUCACACAAGGAAGAAGGUGAGGACAUAGCAAGAAGGUGACCAUCUGCAAGCCAGGCAGCAAGUCCUUACCAGGAACCAAAUUGGCUAGUACCUUGGACUUCCAGCCUCCAGAACUGUGAGAAAUCACAUAUAUGAAAACUACCUUAAAAAGGAAAUUGGGGAGUUCCCGUCGUGGUGCAGUGGUUAACGAAUCCGACUAGGAACCAUGAGG
This is a non-coding RNA of Sus scrofa (pig), 12247 nucleotides long. NCBI's taxonomy places the organism in Eukaryota, Metazoa, Chordata, Mammalia, Artiodactyla, Suidae. The record is from RefSeq and is a predicted model, not a curated record.